AGAGUUUGAUCAUGGCUCAGGACGAACGCUGGCGGCACGCUUAACACAUGCAAGUCGAACGAGAGAAGAGGAGCUUGCUUUUCUGAUCUAGUGGCGGACGGGUGAGUAACACGUGAGCAAUCUGCCUUUCAGAGGGGGAUACCGAUUGGAAACGAUCGUUAAUACCGCAUAACAUAAUUGAACCGCAUGAUUUGAUUAUCAAAGAUUUAUCGCUGAAAGAUGAGCUCGCGUCUGAUUAGCUAGUUGGUAAGGUAACGGCUUACCAAGGCGACGAUCAGUAGCCGGACUGAGAGGUUGAUCGGCCACAUUGGGACUGAGACACGGCCCAGACUCCUACGGGAGGCAGCAGUGGGGAAUAUUGCACAAUGGAGGAAACUCUGAUGCAGCGAUGCCGCGUGGGGGAAGAAGGUUUUAGGAUUGUAAACCUCUGUCUUCAGGGACGAAAAAAGACGGUACCUGAGGAGGAAGCUCCGGCUAACUACGUGCCAGCAGCCGCGGUAAUACGUAGGGAGCGAGCGUUGUCCGGAAUUACUGGGUGUAAAGGGAGCGUAGGCGGGAUCGCAAGUCAGAUGUGAAAACUAUGGGCUUAACCCAUAAACUGCAUUUGAAACUGUGGUUCUUGAGUGAAGUAGAGGUAAGCGGAAUUCCUAGUGUAGCGGUGAAAUGCGUAGAUAUUAGGAGGAACAUCAGUGGCGAAGGCGGCUUACUGGGCUUUAACUGACGCUGAGGCUCGAAAGCGUGGGGAGCAAACAGGAUUAGAUACCCUGGUAGUCCACGCCGUAAACGAUGAUUACUAGGUGUGGGGGGACUGACCCCUUCCGUGCCGCAGCAAACGCAAUAAGUAAUCCACCUGGGGAGUACGACCGCAAGGUUGAAACUCAAAGGAAUUGACGGGGGCCCGUACAAGCAGUGGAGUAUGUGGAUUAAUUCGAAGCAACGCGAAGAACCUUACCAGGUCUUGACAUCGUAUGCAUAGCUCAGAGAUGAGUGAAAUCUCUUCGGAGACAUAUAGACAGGUGGUGCAUGGUUGUCGUCAGCUCGUGUCGUGAGAUGUUGGGUUAAGUCCCGCAACGAGCGCAACCCUUACUGUUAGUUGCUACGCAAGAGCACUCUAGCAGGACUGCCGUUGACAAAACGGAGGAAGGUGGGGAUGACGUCAAAUCAUCAUGCCCCUUAUGACCUGGGCCUCACACGUACUACAAUGGCUGUCAACAGAGGGAAGCAAAGCCGCGAGGUGGAGCGAACCCCUAAAAGCAGUCUUAGUUCGGAUUGUAGGCUGCAACCCGCCUACAUGAAGUCGGAAUUGCUAGUAAUCGCAGAUCAGCAUGCUGCGGUGAAUACGUUCCCGGGCCUUGUACACACCGCCCGUCACGCCAUGGGAGUCGGUAACACCCGAAGCCUGUAGUCUAACCGCAAGGAGGACGCAGUCGAAGGUGGGAUUGAUGACUGGGGUGAAGUCGUAACAAGGUA
Molecule: ribosomal RNA, 1470 nt
Filed under: metagenome
Description: bacterial SSU rRNA
Rfam family: Bacterial small subunit ribosomal RNA
Source: RNAcentral